AAAGCGGCGGGCAGCGCGCCGGGCUGGCGGCGCACGCACACUCACACUCACACACACACUCGCUCACUCGCUCACUCACUCACUCGUACACACACAAUGCUGCCGCGGCACCUACCAGGCGGGCAGCCUCGGCCCAGGUGUCGGCUCGGAGAGAUCCCGCGUUAGCGUUUCGGCUCCUUCUGUUAUCGGAGCAGGAAAGAACAUCUUCUUGUGCCAGUGUAAACAAAGGAGUUGAUGUGCUACGCUCGUAAAACUGCCGAGGGAUGUGUUCUCUUCUUAGACGACCUCGGAUUAAGACAUACACGAAAUGCGAAUCAAAAGACUUAGCACACCGUCCUGAAUUGCAGGAUAUUACGAUGUGGGUUCUUCCUCAGUUUCUUCCUCUCCCCCAAAUAUUAAAGUAUAUUUGGAAUAGUA
This is a long non-coding RNA of Strigops habroptila (Kakapo), 417 nucleotides long. RefSeq lists it as uncharacterized. The record is from RefSeq and is a predicted model, not a curated record. NCBI's taxonomy places the organism in Eukaryota, Metazoa, Chordata, Aves, Psittaciformes, Psittacidae. The transcript is spliced from 2 exons.